GACGAACGCUGGCGGCAUGCCUCAUACAUGCAAGUCGAGCGGUCUUUAAGUGGAAGGCUUGCCUUUCACUUGAAGAUAGCGGCGGACGGGUGAGUAACGCGUGGGUAACCUGCCCUAAAGUGGGGGAUAACAUUCCGAAAGGAGUGCUAAUACCGCAUAAUGUCCUUUGCCCGCAUGGGUGGAGGAAGAAAGGGAUCAACUCGCUUUAGGAUGGGCCCGCGUCCCAUUAGCUAGUUGGUAGGGUAACGGCCUACCAAGGCGACGAUGGGUAGCCGGCCUGAGAGGGCGACCGGCCACACUGGGACUGAGACACGGCCCAGACUCCUACGGGAGGCAGCAGUCGGGAAUAUUGGUCAAUGGGGGAAACCCUGAACCAGCAAUGCCGCGUGAGCGACGAAGGUCUUCGGAUCGUAAAGCUCUGUCCUUGGGGAAGAUAAUGACGGUACCCAAGAAGAAAGCCACUGCUAACUACGUG
Molecule: ribosomal RNA, 475 nt
Filed under: uncultured organism
Description: bacterial SSU rRNA
Rfam family: Bacterial small subunit ribosomal RNA
Source: RNAcentral